AACUGUAUUAAGACACAGGGAUGCCCUAGUAACGGCGAGUGAAGCGGCAACAGCUCAAAUUUGAAAUCUGGCUCUUUUAGAGUCCGAGUUGUAAUUUGCAGAGGGCGCUUUGGCUUUGGCAGCGGUCCAAGUUCCUUGGAACAGGACGUCACAGAGGGUGAGAAUCCCGUACGUGGUCGCUGGCUAUUGCCGUGUAAAGCCCCUUCGACGAGUCGAGUUGUUUGGGAAUGCAGCUCUAAAUGGGAGGUACAUUUCUUCUAAAGCUAAAUAUUGGCCAGAGACCGAUAGCGCACAAGUAGAGUGAUCGAAAGAUGAAAAGCACUUUGGAAAGAGAGUCAAACAGCACGUGAAAUUGUUAAAAGGGAAGCGCUUGCAGCCAGACUUGCUUGCAGUUGCUCAUCCGGGCUUUUGCCCGGUGCACUCUUCUGUAGGCAGGCCAGCAUCAGUUUGGGCGGUAGGAUAAAGGUCUCUGUCACGUACCUCCUUUCGGGGAGGCCUUAUAGGGGAGACGACAUACUACCAGCCUGGACUGAGGUCCGCGCAUCUGCUAGGAUGCUGGCGUAAUGGCUGUAAGCGGCCCGUCUUGAAACACGGACCAAGGAGUCUAACAUCUAUGCGAGUGUUUGGGUGUCAAGCCCGAGCGCGUAAUGAAAGUGAACGGAGGUGGGAACCCGCAAGGGUGCACCAUCGACCGAUCCUGAUGUCUUCGGAAGGAUUUGAGUAAGAGCAUGGCUGUUGGGACCCGAAAGAUGGUGAACUAUGCUUGAAUAGGGUGAAGCCAGAGGAAACUCUGGUGGAGGCUCGCAGCGGUUCUGACGUGCAAAUCGAUCGUCAAAUUUGGGCAUAGGGGCGAAAGACUAAUCGAACUAUCUAGUAGCUGGUCUGCGAUCUCCUCUCUCCUGGAAAACGGGCUACUAGAUAGUUCGAUAGUCUUUCGCCCCUAUGCCCAAAUUGACGAUCGAUUUGCACGUCAGACUGCUGCGAGCCUCCAAGAGACCUCGGCUCCCUCAUCAACAAAGAUUAAUUAACAGGUGUAGGCCCGACUGUCAUCAUCUUCUCAAAUCUUCGAAGAGUGGAUCGUCGGUGCCCCCUUCCUGUUCACCUCGUUCAUUCCAAACCCGAGGGUUAACCAACAUCCAGAUGAGAGACUAUCGCCUCUAGACGGCGGUAACGCUGGUAGUGUGUCUUGCGUACUGUCGGGGGGGAAUUUACUGUAUACUAAUAUAUCUGGUAUAUCGACUGAACAUAACGCCAGGGCGCGCUGCUAGAUCGGAGAGGGACGUACAGCUCAUGACGGAC
RNAcentral lists this ribosomal RNA (1299 nucleotides) under Alternaria sp. 'sect. Ulocladioides'. Its description in RNAcentral is "partial large subunit ribosomal RNA". It matches the Rfam family "Eukaryotic large subunit ribosomal RNA", at positions 63 to 1408 of the family's 3401-position model. The record is from RNAcentral. Lineage: Eukaryota; Fungi; Ascomycota; Dothideomycetes; Pleosporales; Pleosporaceae.